GGACCCGCACAAGCGGUGGAGUAUGUGGUUUAAUUCGAUGCAACACGAAGAACCUUACCAGGGUUUGAAAUCAUUUCAAAACUCCUUGAAAGAGGAGCCUCCUUCGGGAUGAAAUGACAGGUGGUGCAUGGCUGUCGUCAGCUCGUGUUGUGAAAUGUCGAGUUAAGUCUCGUAACGAGCGCAACCCAUGUCUCUUGUUGCUCACUGAGUGCUUAAGAGAGACUGCCGACCAACAUCGGAGGAAGGUGUGGAUGAUGUCAAGUCAGCAUGCCCCUUACAUCCUGGGCUACACACGUACUACAAUGGUAGGGACAAUGAGCUGCGAUCCUGCGAAGGCUAGCCAAUCUCAAAAACCGGUCUCAGUUCGGAUCGCAGUCUGCAACUCGACUGCGUGAAGCUGGAAUC
Molecule: ribosomal RNA, 405 nt
Filed under: uncultured bacterium
Lineage: Bacteria
Description: bacterial SSU rRNA
Rfam family: Bacterial small subunit ribosomal RNA
Source: RNAcentral